Molecule: ribosomal RNA, 798 nt
Filed under: uncultured Glomus
Lineage: Eukaryota; Fungi; Glomeromycota; Glomeromycetes; Glomerales; Glomeraceae
Description: SSU rRNA
Rfam family: Eukaryotic small subunit ribosomal RNA
Source: RNAcentral
AUCAACUUUCGAUGGUAGGAUAGAGGCCUACCAUGGUGGUAACGGGUAACGGGGUGUUAGGGCACGACACCGGAGAGGGAGCCUGAGAAACGGCUACCACAUCCAAGGAUGGCAGCAGGCGCGCAAAUUACCCAAUCCCGACACGGGGAGGUAGUGACAAUAAAUAACAAUACGGGGUUCUUUCGGAUUUCGUAAUUGGAAUGAGUACAAUUUAAAUCUCUUAACGAGGAACAAUUGGAGGGCAAGUCUGGUGCCAGCAGCCGCGGUAAUUCCAGCUCCAAUAGCGUAUAUUAAAGUUGCUGCAGUUAAAAAGCUCGUAGUUGAAUUUCGGGACCAAUAUGUCGGUCGUGCCUCGGUACGUACUGGCAUCGUUGGUUUCUCCCUUCUGACGAACCAUGAUGUCAUUCAUUUGGUGUCGUGGGGAAUCAGGACUGUUACUUUGAAAAAAUUAGAGUGUUUAAAGCAGGCUCACGCUUGAAUACAUUAGCAUGGAAUAAUGAAAUAGGACGUUUGAUUCUAUUUUGUUGGUUUCUAGGAUCGACGUAAUGAUUAAUAGGGAUAGUUGGGGGCAUUAGUAUUCAAUUGUCAGAGGUGAAAUUCUUGGAUUUAUUGAAGACUAACUACUGCGAAAGCAUUUGCCAAGGAUGUUUUCAUUAAUCAAGAACGAAAGUUAGGGGAUCGAAGACGAUCAGAUACCGUCGUAGUCUUAACCAUAAACUAUGCCGACUAGGGAUCGGAUGAUGUUAAUUUUUUAAUGACUCAUUCNGCGCCUUACGGGAAACCAAAGUGUUUGGGUUC